GUGGGCAUUUGCCCCGCACGUGGUGGGUGACCAUUGGGCGGGUGGGCACCCCCCGAGGCCUCAGAGCAGCAGACGCCCCUCCCUGAGCCUGGUUGGGCCUGCACCACAAGCAGCACCCAGGUCCCACAGGUCCCUCUCCACACACAGCUCAGUGCAGGCCGUGAGCAAGUGGUCGCAUGCACACUGCUGACCACCUGCCUGGCAUGGCGUCUGGUAAACAGCAGGUGGAUAUUGGUGUAGAUGUGCCACCUCGAAUUGCUAGAUUGGGCAGAACCCCGCUAGAGCCCAUCCAGUUGCAGACACAAACCCAGGGCCCAGCAGAUGGUGCUGUCUGCUAGGACAAGGCUGGAGAGCAGUCGCUCCAUCCAGUCACCGUUUCCCGCAUCUGGACGCCUGCAUCAUCCCCUGGACAGCCAUGCAGAACCCGCCCUGUGCAGGCAUUGGAGGGCCGGGGACAGGAGGCUAACCCUCCAUGGUGGGGUCCAGGCUACCCCGCACAGCAUCCUGCAAGGUUCCCUGUUCGCUGGUGCGGGUCUAUGAGGAGGAAACACACAGAAACCAAAAGAUGGAAUCAGGCUGUCUCGGGCCACUUCCUUCCGCCACAGCUCUGCCUGGAGUGCCAGCCCCAGCACAGGUGAAUACACAGAACCAGCGCCUCCCUCCUGGAGCUUUCCUGGGGAGACCAGUGAGGGUGAACAAGGAAGCGGAUAGAGAACUCCCCGCAGCUAGCACGCGGCGCUCCCAGGGAAGAGCAUGCCAGGCUGGAGGCCCUGCGGAGGGGACAAGUUCAGCAGCUUGGAGGACCAGAGAGAAAUCCAGCUCCUGCCUCCUAACUCACACAGCCCUGGUUAUAGCCUUUUGUUAUCACGUUGGGGCAGUUUAGGCCUCAGGAAGCUGAAUCUCAAGACCCUAAUCUGACUGUGGGUCAGAAGAUCCUCAUUCCAGGGUGGGUUCUGCCUCAUCCCCUAGAGGAAGAAAUGCUGCCGAGAAGCUGAGAAGAGUCUGGGCCAGGCGUGGUGGCUCAUGCCUGUAAUCCCAAGACUGGGAGCCCAAGGCGGGCAGAUCACCUGAAGUCAGGAGUUCGAGGCCAGCCUGGCCAACACGGCAAAACCCCAUCUGUACUAAAAAUACAAAAAUUAGUCGGGCAUGGUGGCACGUGCCUGUAAAACCAGCUACUGGGGGUGCUGAGCCAGGAGAAUUGCUUGAACCUGGAAGGCAGAGGUUGCAGUGAGCCGAGAUCACACCACUACACUCCAGCCUGGGUGACAAAGUGAGGCUCCGUCUCAAAAAAAAAAAAAAGAAGAAUCUGGACAGACAAGCCCUGCUGAGUUUACACCACGCCCUGUGUAUCCAGUUGCAUUUCUACAUGGUUGUCAAUCAUUCCUGUCCAACGAUGUCUCCAUCAAAGGCCCAAGAGGACAGGGUUCAGGGACCUUUCAGAGAGCUGACCACGCAGAGGCUCCUGGAGGGGCUGCCCAGGGAGGGCAUGGCAGCUCCACGCCCCUUCCCCGUACCUCGUCUGUGCAUCUCUUCAUGUAUAUUCUUUGCAAUAUCACUUAUAAUAAACCAGGAAACGUGUUUCCCUGACUCCCGUGAGCCACUCUAGCAAAUUAAUCAAACCCAAAGAGGGGGUUGUGGGAACCCCAACAUCAAGAAGUUGGUCAGAAGGCCCAGACGUGCAGCUCAUGUCUGGAGUAGGGGGGGAGGUCUUAGGACUGAGCCCUCUCCCUGUGUGAUCAGACACCGUCUCCAGGUAGAGGGGUCAGAAUAGAAUCGGAGGAUGCCCCUGUUGGUGUCCGCUACAGCAGUGUUGCUCACUCAGUGGUGGGGAGAAGCCCCAACUCUGCGUUUGCUCACAGGAGUCUUCUAUGUUGAUGAUGUCGUGGUGUUGAAGUUGAUGAUGUCAUGGUGUUCAUGAUGUCAUGGUCUUGAUGAUGUGUUGAUGAUGCAGUGUUGAUGAUGUCCUUGUGUUGAUGAUGUCUUGGUAUUAAUGAUGCCGUGUUGACGUCAUGGUUUUGAUGUUGUCAUGGUGUUGAUGUCACGGUGCUGAUCUCAUGGUGUUAAUGAUGCAGUGUUGAUGAUGUCCUUGUGUUGAUGAUGUCAUGGUAUUAAUGAUGCCAUGUUGAUGUCAUGGUUUUGAUGUUGUCAUGGUGUUGAUGAUGUCACGGUGCUGGUCUCAUGGUGUUAAUGAUGUAGUGUUGAUGAUGUCAUGGGGUUGAUGAUGUUGUGUUCAUGAUGUCAUGGUGCUGAUGUGGUGUUGAUGUUGAUGUGUUGAUAUCAUGGUGUUGAUAAUAUCGUGGUUUUGACGAUGUCAUAGUGCUGAUGAUGGUGUCAUGGGGUUGCUGAGGUCGUGGUGUGGAUGAUUUCCUGGUAUUAAUGAUGCGGAG
This 2387-nucleotide long non-coding RNA is filed under the name Homo sapiens (human). Its description in RNAcentral is "HSALNT0197455". Lineage: Eukaryota; Metazoa; Chordata; Mammalia; Primates; Hominidae. The record is from RNAcentral.